Molecule: unclassified non-coding RNA, 309 nt
Filed under: plant metagenome
Description: partial contains 5.8S ribosomal RNA, internal transcribed spacer 2, and large subunit ribosomal RNA
Rfam family: 5.8S ribosomal RNA (bases 1-104)
Source: RNAcentral
AAAUGCGAUAAGUAGUGUGAAUUGCAGAAUUCAGUGAAUCAUCGAAUCUUUGAACGCACAUUGCGCCCCUUGGUAUUCCAUGGGGCAUGCCUGUUCGAGCGUCAUUUGUACCCUCAAGCUCUGCUUGGUGUUGGGUGUUUGUCCCCGUCUCCGCGCGUGGACUCGCCCCAAAGUGAUUGGCAGCCGGCGUACUGGUCCCGGAGCGCAGCACAUGUCGCACAAACGAGUGCCUUGGUACGGCGGCGUCCAUAAGCCCCUCUCUCACGCUCUUGACCUCGGAUCAGGUAGGGAUACCCGCUGAACUUAAGC